RNAcentral lists this ribosomal RNA (301 nucleotides) under uncultured bacterium. RNAcentral's name for it is "partial 16S ribosomal RNA". It matches the Rfam family "Bacterial small subunit ribosomal RNA", at positions 509 to 807 of the family's 1533-position model. The record is from RNAcentral.
CAGUCGCCACGGGAAUACAGAGGGUGCAAGCGUUAAUCGGAAUUACUGGGCGUAAAGCGCGCGUAGGUGGUUUGUUAAGUUGGAUGUGAAAUCCCCGGGAUCAACCUGGGAACUGCAUCCAAAACUGGCAAGCUAGAGUAUGGUAGAGGGUGGUGGAAUUUCCUGUGUAGCGGUGAAAUGCGUAGAUAUAGGAAGGAACACCAGUGGCGAAGGCGACCACCUGGACUGAUACUGACACUGAGGUGCGAAAGCGUGGGGAGCAAACAGGAUUAGAUACCCCGGUAGUCCCUGUCUCUUAUAC